Small nuclear RNA from Ochotona princeps (American pika), 107 nucleotides. Lineage: Eukaryota; Metazoa; Chordata; Mammalia; Lagomorpha; Ochotonidae. The record is from Ensembl.
GUGCUUGCUUCAGCAGCAUAUAUACUAAAAUUGCAAUGAUACAGAGAAGAUCAGUAUAUCCUCUGCUCAAGGAUGGCACACAAAUACGUGACACAUUCCUUAUUUAU